CGGGUCGUAGCUCAAGGGCAGAACAGGCUUUUACCCCGUCGGCGAGAGUUCGAUCCUCUCCGGCCCGACCA
Molecule: transfer RNA, 71 nt
Filed under: Pandoraea pnomenusa
Lineage: Bacteria; Pseudomonadati; Pseudomonadota; Betaproteobacteria; Burkholderiales; Burkholderiaceae
Description: tRNA-Lys
Rfam family: tRNA
About the family: Transfer RNA (tRNA) molecules are approximately 80 nucleotides in length. Their secondary structure includes four short double-helical elements and three loops (D, anti-codon, and T loops).
Source: RNAcentral